GGAGAGGUGGCCGAGCGGCUGAAGGCGCUGCUCUCGAAAAGCAGAAUCCUGCCAGAAGCGGGAUCGUGGGUUCAAAUCCCACCCUCUCCGCCA
This 93-nucleotide transfer RNA is filed under the name Deltaproteobacteria bacterium. RNAcentral's name for it is "tRNA-Ser". It matches the Rfam family "tRNA". From Rfam's summary of the family: Transfer RNA (tRNA) molecules are approximately 80 nucleotides in length. Their secondary structure includes four short double-helical elements and three loops (D, anti-codon, and T loops). Further hydrogen bonds mediate the characteristic L-shaped molecular structure. tRNAs have two regions of fundamental functional importance: the anti-codon, which is responsible for specific mRNA codon recognition, and the 3' end, to which the tRNAs corresponding amino acid is attached (by aminoacyl-tRNA synthetases). tRNAs cope with the degeneracy of the genetic code in two manners: having more than one tRNA (with a specific anti-codon) for a particular amino acid; and 'wobble' base-pairing, i.e. permitting non-standard base-pairing at the 3rd anti-codon position. Lineage: Bacteria; Pseudomonadati; Myxococcota; Myxococcia. The record is from RNAcentral.